GACGAACGCUGGCGGCGUGCUUAACACAUGCAAGUCGAACGGAAAGACCCUGCUUUUGUGGGGUGCUCGAGUGGCGAACGGGUGAGUAACACGUGUGUAACCUGCCCUUGUCUUUGGGAUAACUUCAGGAAACUGCGGCUAUUACCGCGUAGGAGCUCCUGAUGCAUGGUGGGGGUUGGAAAGUUUCGGCGGUUGGGGAUGGACUCGCGGGUUAUCCGCUUGUUGGUGUGGUAGUGGCUGACCAAGGCUGUGACGGGUAGCCGGCCUGGGAGGGGGACCGGCCACAAGGGUCCUGAGGGACGCACCAGACUCGAACGGUCGGCAGUAGUGGAGAACAUUGCGCAACGAGCGGGAGCCUGAGGCAGCGACGUUGGGUGCGGGAUGCUGUGUUACGGGUGGUGAACAGAUGUCUAAGGAACUGAAGAGUGAGUGACGGUAACGGGUAAAGAAGCACCGGCUAACUACGUG
RNAcentral lists this ribosomal RNA (468 nucleotides) under uncultured bacterium. RNAcentral's name for it is "partial 16S ribosomal RNA". It matches the Rfam family "Bacterial small subunit ribosomal RNA", at positions 28 to 507 of the family's 1533-position model. The record is from RNAcentral.